Molecule: ribosomal RNA, 472 nt
Filed under: uncultured bacterium
Lineage: Bacteria
Description: bacterial SSU rRNA
Rfam family: Bacterial small subunit ribosomal RNA
Source: RNAcentral
AGAGUUUGAUCAUGGCUCAGAACGAACGCUGGCGGCAGGCCUAACACAUGCAAGUCGAACGCCCUAGCAAUAGGGAGUGGCGCACGGGUGCGUAACGCGUGGGAAUAUGCCCUUGACUACGGAACAACGUCGGGAAACUGACGCUAAUACCGUAUAAUGUCUUCGGACCAAAGAUUUAUCGGUCAAGGAUUAGCCCGCGUCUGAUUAGCUAGUUGGUGAGGUAACGGCUCACCAAGGCGACGAUCAGUAGCUGGUCCGAGAGGAUGAUCAGCCACACUGGGACUGAGACACGGCCCAGACUCCUACGGGAGGCAGCAGUGAGGAAUAUUGGACAAUGGGCGCAAGCCUGAUCCAGCCAUGCCGCGUGAGUGACGAAGGCCUUCGGGUUGUAAAGCUCUUUCAGAUGCGAAGAUAAUGACGGUAACAUCAGAAGAAGCCCCGGCUAAAUUCGUGCCAGCCGCCGCGGUAAUAC